RNAcentral lists this ribosomal RNA (468 nucleotides) under uncultured bacterium. RNAcentral describes it as "partial 16S ribosomal RNA". It matches the Rfam family "Bacterial small subunit ribosomal RNA", at positions 28 to 507 of the family's 1533-position model. The record is from RNAcentral.
GACGAACGCUGGCGGCGUGCUUAACACAUGCAAGUCGAACGGAAAGGCCCUGCUUUUGUGGGGUGCUCGAGUGGCGAACGGGUGAGUAACACGGGAGUAACCUGCCCUUGACUUUGGGAUAACUUCAGGAAACUGGGGCUAAUAACGGAUAGGAGCUCCUGCUGCAUGGUGGGGGUUGGAAAGUUUCGGCGGUUGGGGAUGGACUCGCGGCUUAUCAGCUUGUUGGUGGGGUAGUGGCUUACCAAGGCUUUGACGGGUAGCCGGCCUGAGAGGGUGACCGGCCCCAUUGGGACUGAGAUACGGCCCAGACUCCUACGGGAGGCAGCAGUGGGGAAUAUUGCACAAUGGGCGGAAGCCUGAUGCAGCAACGCCGCGUGCGGGAUGACGGCCUUCGGGUUGUAAACCGCUUUCGCCUGUGACGAAGCGUGAGUGACGGUAAUGGGUAAAGAAGCACCGGCUAACUACGUG